Molecule: ribosomal RNA, 201 nt
Filed under: uncultured bacterium
Lineage: Bacteria
Description: partial 16S ribosomal RNA
Rfam family: Bacterial small subunit ribosomal RNA
Source: RNAcentral
ACGCUCGACACCUACGGGGGGCAGCAGUGGGGAAUAUUGGGCAAUGGGCGCAAGCCUGACCCAGCAACGCCGCGUGAAGGAAGAAGGCCCUCGGGUUGUAAACUUCUUUUAUCAGGGACGAAGCAAGUGACGGUACCUGAUGAAUAAGCCACGGCUAACUACGUGCCUGCAGCCGCGGUAAUCUGAGCGGGCUGGCAAGGC